RNAcentral lists this transfer RNA (66 nucleotides) under Stephanitis chinensis. RNAcentral describes it as "tRNA-Pro". The record is from RNAcentral. Lineage: Eukaryota; Metazoa; Arthropoda; Insecta; Hemiptera; Tingidae.
AGUGGAUAUUUUAAUAAAAAAUAUUAAUUUUGGAGAUUAAAGAGGAAGAAAGUUUCUUUUCUACUG